This 401-nucleotide ribosomal RNA is filed under the name uncultured bacterium. RNAcentral describes it as "bacterial SSU rRNA". It matches the Rfam family "Bacterial small subunit ribosomal RNA", at positions 355 to 773 of the family's 1533-position model. The record is from RNAcentral.
UGGGGAAUUGUUCACAAUGGGCGCAAGCCUGAUGACGCAAUGCCGCGUGAGCGAUGAAGGCCUUAGGGUUGUAAAGCUCUUUUACCCGGGAUAAUAAUGACAGUACCGGGAGAAUAAGCUCCGGCUAACUCCGUGCCAGCAGCCGCGGUAAUACGGAGGGAGCUAGCGUUGUUCGGAAUUACUGGGCGUAAAGCGCACGUAGGCGGCUUUGUAAGUUAGAGGUGAAAGCCCGGGGCUCAACCCCGGAAUUGCCUUUAAGACUGCAUCGCUAGAAUUGUGGAGAGGUAAGUGGAAUUCCGAGUGUAGAGGUGAAAUUCGUAGAUAUUCGGAAGAACACCAGUGGCGAAGGCGACUUACUGGACACAUAUUGACGCUGAGGUGCGAAAGCGUGGGGAGCAAAC